UUAGGUUAAGUUAGAAAGGGCGCACGGUGGAUGCCUUGGCACUAGGAGCCGAAGAAGGACGGGACUAACUCCGAUAUGCUCCGGGGAGCUGUAAGUAAGCAUUGAUCCGGAGAUUUCCGAAUGGGGAAACCCACUGUUCGUAAUGGAACAGUAUCCCUGCUUGAAUUCAUAGGGCAGGAGAAGGCACACCCGGGGAACUGAAACAUCUAAGUACCUGGAGGAAGAGAAAGCAAACGCGAUUCCCCGAGUAGCGGCGAGCGAAACGGGAACAGCCCAAACCAGAAGGCUUGCCUUCUGGGGUUGUAGGACACUCUAUACGGAGUUACAAAAGAACGGAGUAGGUGAAGAGGUCUGGAAAGGCCCAUCAGAGAAGGUAACAAUCCUGUAGCCGAAACUUCGUUCUCUCCAGAGUGGAUCCUGAGUACGGCGGAACACGUGAAAUUCCGUCGGAAUCCGGGAGGACCAUCUCCCAAGGCUAAAUACUCCCUAGUGACCGAUAGUGAACCAGUACCGUGAGGGAAAGGUGAAAAGCACCCCGGAAGGGGAGUGAAAGAGAACCUGAAACCGUGUGCCUACAAGUAGUCAGAGCCCGUUUAUGGGUGAUGGCGUGCCUUUUGUAGAAUGAACCGGCGAGUUGCGAUUUCAUGCGAGGUUAAGCCGAAAAGGCGGAGCCGCAGCGAAAGCGAGUCUGAAUAGGGCGCAUGAGUAUGAGGUCGCAGACCCGAAACCAGGUGAUCUACCCAUGUCCAGGGUGAAGGUAAGGUAACACUUACUGGAGGCCCGAACCCACGCACGUUGAAAAGUGCGGGGAUGAGGUGUGGGUAGCGGUGAAAUUCCAAUCGAACCUGGAGAUAGCUGGUUCUCUCCGAAAUAGCUUUAGGGCUAGCCUCAAGGGAAGAGUCUUGGAGGUAGAGCACUGUUUGGACUAGGGGCCCCUCUCGGGUUACCGAAUUCAGACAAACUCCGAAUGCCAAAGACUUAUCCUUGGGAGUCAGACUGCGAGUGAUAAGAUCCGUAGUCAAGAGGGAAACAGCCCAGACCACCAGCUAAGGUCCCCAAGUAUACGUUAAGUGGAAAAGGAUGUGGAGUUGCUUAGACAACCAGGAUGUUGGCUUAGAAGCAGCCACCAUUUAAAGAGUGCGUAAUAGCUCACUGGUCGAGUGACUCUGCGCCGAAAAUGUACCGGGGCUAAACGUAUCACCGAAGCUGUGGAUGGACACCGUANNNNNNNNNNNNNNNNNNNNNNNNNNNNNNNNNNNNNNNNNNNNNNNNNNNNNNNNNNNNNNNNNNNNNNNNNNNNNNNNNNNNNNNNNNNNNUAUGGUGUCCGUGGUAGGAGAGCGUUCUAAGGGCGGUGAAGCAAGACCGGAAGGACUUGUGGAGCGCUUAGAAGUGAGAAUGCCGGUAUGAGUAGCGAAAGAAGGGUGAGAAUCCCUUCCACCGAAUGCCUAAGGUUUCCUGAGGAAGGCUCGUCCUCUCAGGGUUAGUCGGGACCUAAGCCGAGGCCGACAGGCGUAGGCGAUGGACAACAGGUUGAUAUUCCUGUACCACCUCUUCACCAUUUGAGCAAUGGGGGGACGCAGGAGGAUAGGGCAAGCGCACAGUUGGUUGUGCGUCCAAGCAGUUAGGCCGGUGACGAGGCAAAUCCCGUCACCAUCAAGGCGGAGCUGUGACGGCGAGGGAAAUUUAGUACCGAAGUUCCUGAUUCCACACUGCCAAGAAAAGCCUCUAGCGAGGUGAAAGGUGCCCGUACCGCAAACCGACACAGGUAGGCGAGGAGAGAAUCCUAAGGUGAGCGAGUGAACUCUCGUUAAGGAACUCGGCAAAAUGACCCCGUAACUUCGGGAGAAGGGGUGCUCUUUGGGGUGCAUAGCCCUGAGGAGCCGCAGUGAAUAGGCCCAGGCGACUGUUUAGCAAAAACACAGGUCUCUGCGAAGCCGCAAGGCGAAGUAUAGGGGCUGACGCCUGCCCGGUGCUGGAAGGUUAAGAGGAGGGGUUAGCUCACGCGAAGCUCUGAAUUGAAGCCCCAGUAAACGGCGGCCGUAACUAUAACGGUCCUAAGGUAGCGAAAUUCCUUGUCGGGUAAGUUCCGACCCGCACGAAAGGCGUAACGAUCUGGGCACUGUCUCAACGAGAGACUCGGUGAAAUUAUAGUACCUGUGAAGAUGCAGGUUACCCGCGACAGGACGGAAAGACCCCGUGGAGCUUUACUGCAGCCUGAUAUUGAAUUUCGGCACAGCUUGUACAGGAUAGGUAGGAGCCUUUGAACCCGGAGCGCCAGCUUCGGGGGAGGCGUCGGUGGGAUACUACCCUGGCUGUGUUGAACUUCUAACCCGCACCCGUGAUCCGGGUGGGAGACAGUGUCAGGCGGGCAGUUUGACUGGGGCGGUCGCCUCCUAAAAAGUAACGGAGGCGCCCAAAGGUUCCCUCAGAAUGGUUGGAAAUCAUUCGCAGAGUGUAAAGGCACAAGGGAGCUUGACUGCGAGACCUACAAGUCGAGCAGGGACGAAAGUCGGGCUUAGUGAUCCGGUGGUUCCGCAUGGAAGGGCCAUCGCUCAACGGAUAAAAGCUACCCCGGGGAUAACAGGCUUAUCUCCCCCAAGAGUCCACAUCGACGGGGAGGUUUGGCACCUCGAUGUCGGCUCAUCGCAUCCUGGGGCUGUAGUCGGUCCCAAGGGUUGGGCUGUUCGCCCAUUAAAGCGGUACGCGAGCUGGGUUCAGAACGUCGUGAGACAGUUCGGUCCCUAUCCGUCGCGGGCGCAGGAAAUUUGAGAGGAGCUGUCCUUAGUACGAGAGGACCGGGAUGGACGCACCGCUGGUGUACCAGUUGUCUUGCCAAAGGCAUCGCUGGGUAGCUAUGUGCGGACGGGAUAAGUGCUGAAAGCAUCUAAGCAUGAAGCCCCCCUCAAGAUGAGAUUUCCCAUAGCGCAAGCUAGUAAGAUCCCUGAAAGAUGAUCAGGUAGAUAGGUUCGAGGUGGAAGCGUGGCGACACGUGGAGCUGACGAAUACUAAUCGAUCGAGGACUUA
RNAcentral lists this ribosomal RNA (3025 nucleotides) under Pseudobacillus badius. RNAcentral describes it as "Bacillus badius partial 23S ribosomal RNA". It matches the Rfam family "Bacterial large subunit ribosomal RNA". Lineage: Bacteria; Bacillati; Bacillota; Bacilli; Caryophanales; Bacillaceae. The record is from RNAcentral.